GGAGACAUAGCUCAGCUGGUUAGAGCGUUCGCCUCACACGCGAGAGGUCGUGGGUUCGAGCCCCUCUGUCUCCACCA
This 77-nucleotide transfer RNA is filed under the name Clostridia bacterium. Its description in RNAcentral is "tRNA-Val". It matches the Rfam family "tRNA". Rfam says of the family: Transfer RNA (tRNA) molecules are approximately 80 nucleotides in length. Their secondary structure includes four short double-helical elements and three loops (D, anti-codon, and T loops). Lineage: Bacteria; Bacillati; Bacillota; Clostridia. The record is from RNAcentral.